RNAcentral lists this unclassified non-coding RNA (409 nucleotides) under Hevea brasiliensis (rubber tree). Lineage: Eukaryota; Viridiplantae; Streptophyta; Magnoliopsida; Malpighiales; Euphorbiaceae. The record is from RNAcentral.
AAUUAGACCAAAUAACUUAAAAAUUAAGUCUAAAUUAAAAAAUCGAUCAAAAAUCAAACCGAUCGAUUUAAACUGAACCGAAUCAAAAUAAAGCGGUUCGAUUCGAUUUGAUUUUUUAUCCAUUUUAAUUUGAUUCAAUUUUUAAAAUUUAAAAUUUAAUUUUUAUAAUUUAAUUUGAUUCGAUUCAAUUCGAUUUAAUUCAAACCGAAUACUCACUCCAGCCAGGGAUGCUCUUCUUUUGCGGGGUUUACGUUGCAGUAUCGCAGGCUGAGGUGGGUGGUUGGGGAAGGUUCCGUCAAAGAAAGGAAAUAGAGGAAUGAAAAACAUAAAAAAGAAUUAAGUUAAAAUUGGAUCGAUUAUAUUUUAAAUUAUAAUAAAUAAAAUUAAGUAAAAUUGAAUUUCAAUUGAA